CCAGACUUGAACUUUGCAGAGAGAUCAUCUGCUCCCUUGCAUCAUUUCUAAUGGAAAUGUGACCCUGUCCACCCACCAAUCUUGGGUUUUCCCUAGUUUGGGGCUGCAAUUAUAAAAUUCAGGAUAAGUGAAGUUGAAUUUUAGAUAAAUACUAGUUAAUGUUUUAGUAUAAGUAUGCUCAAAUUUAAUUGAGCGCCCUGUAGUUGUUUUUGCCAAUUCUGACAACUCUACCCCAAACAGGAAAAGUGUUGUUUGCUGACAGCCCCCAAAAUGACAAAACGCCCAUUCAAAUCCACCAAAGGAGUUGGAUGGAGAGUUUCGCCAAGCCACAAAUUUUUGAGCUGAGUUUUGAGCUGGAUCUCAAGAUGAGUAGGAAUUUACCAAGGGAGAAAAAAAAAAAAAAAGGAGAGAGAAGAGAGUGCUUCACCAGCAGAGAAAGCAAGCAGCAUGGACCACAGGGUCAUCAAGUGAACACUGAUGAGGCCACAACCGCGCUACUGGUCCAAUGCACUGAGACGGCCAUUAGCCCAUCCGGUGAAGCUGAAUGUAAGACCAGAAAGGAAUCUCGGAGGUGACAAUCCGAUUGGAAGGAGAAUUACCCACAUUAUUUUCACUUGUCGAAGGAAGAGGAAGUCUAGUAAAGAAACAGAACUGAAAGAGAGACCAAAUGGCCCUUCGUCUUCUGAGUCAUUUCUAUUCUGUUUAUUUCUCCAUUUGCUCAAUUUCUUUGAGUACACAUGAGGCUGAACUCGCAUGUCAUCAGGUUACUCACAGCUGGGCUGACUUGGGGGAUUUUACCUUUGGAUCGGAGCAUACAAAUACUUCCAUCAAUAUUCUAUUUCCCAAAGCUGCCAGACUGAGGUGAGAUGCAGCGUGAACGUGGAGCCGGUGCAGCGGAUGUCGGUGCAGGCUCACCAGUCUGGAAGUUUUGUGUGGGCACUCCGCAGCCAAAUCGCCAGAUAAGAGAUACUGAACAGUUUUGCGAGAAGAACUUGAGAGGAAAGAGGGAAGGUCUCGGCGGUGAGGAGUUUGCCCUUUCUGCAGUUGACAGCGGCGAAUAAAUUACUGGUGGAAGAGAAACGAUUCAUGCAUCGGACUUUUUCAUUGUGUACUCAGGAUCAUAAAACAUAUUUGAUAAACAUUUCUGAGACCAAGUUGCUCUGAGAUUGUGUUAUCGUUACUAACUAUUCUUUGUGUAAUAGCAGAACUUGCUUUGUAAGACACAAAUGACCCUAUUCUCCUGGUCUGAAUGGAAGAUGGAGAUUUGCUCGUCACAUCCACCCGUGUAUGUUCUGUAAAAAAUGACAGAAUUCUGCUUCUGUCCCCAGUGGAGCAAUGGAGACUGCAUUUGCCCAUCCAUGUUAAAUAACCAAAUCUAGAAAAAUAAUUCAAACAAUGGGUUGCAGAAACAGGACACCAGGGAGCACAGGAUACUGAUCCACAAUAGAGGAGAAAGAAACAAGAACCUACAUGGGAAGAAAGUACUCCUUGACAAACUCACCCGCAAAAGAACAUAUGUGUAAAGAAUUUCUCUAUGUGAAUAAAUAAUUUUGAUAAAACACAUCAUUAAAUGAAGAAUGAGGGCAUCUGGAAUCUUUCAUGUACCUUUUGCUUCUGUGGUGGAUCUUUAGGGGAACAUUUCUCAACGUUGCAGUUAGAACUUCGCAUCUUUGAUUCUUUUGGAUUUGGAAGGUGUCUUCUUUGAUUUCUAUAGAAUGGUCUGGUUUCCAUUUACCAGAAGGUACAGAUAGAAGAAAGAGAAGACUAUUUGGUGAAAAACUACAUGAUUCGUAAUAUUUACAUGGCAAUUUAUUCUGAUCAGCUGAAUAACCCUAAUCAAAAUGUGUGAACUCUGACAUUAUUUUGUUCUCCACUUGGAAAUGAUUUCUGUCCUUGGACUUUGAUCCACAUGUUGCAAAAGAAUAUUUUAAAAAGAGAAUAAUUACCCACCAUGCUUUGUCACAGUGUCCAUUUUUCCCACCAAGGGAAUGGCCACUGCCACCUGAGAACAAAAAAGUUCUCUUAUUUACUAACGACGUCCUUAGUUUUCCUUUGUGUCAUUUUCCCCCUUAUGUAUGUGUUUUUUACGCUUCUUUGCCAUCCUGCUGUGAGGAAGAAUAGUAAUCACAUCUAAUUAGAAAAAAUUAAAAUGCUAUGACUCACAGAAA
Long non-coding RNA from Herpailurus yagouaroundi (jaguarundi), 2168 nucleotides. RefSeq lists it as uncharacterized. The transcript is spliced from 10 exons. NCBI's taxonomy places the organism in Eukaryota, Metazoa, Chordata, Mammalia, Carnivora, Felidae. The record is from RefSeq and is a predicted model, not a curated record.